RNAcentral lists this long non-coding RNA (209 nucleotides) under Phoenix dactylifera (date palm). Its description in RNAcentral is "long non-coding RNA (PDAC_LNC002564)". Lineage: Eukaryota; Viridiplantae; Streptophyta; Magnoliopsida; Arecales; Arecaceae. The record is from RNAcentral.
AGAAAGGCAGAGAGCGAGAGAGAUCGAUGGGAAUCAAGGAAAAAGAGAGAAGGAACCACCGUCACCGGCCAUGGAUCGAGAGAGGAGGGAGAGAACCACGAGAGAGCGAACGAGAGAGAACUUUUGGCCUAUGCUAUACUAAACGGACCCUAAUAAUCCACGCUAGGCUGCAAACCGGUUUGUGACAGGACAGCAAAAUUGCCGGUUCG